Molecule: long non-coding RNA, 178 nt
Filed under: Salmo trutta (river trout)
Lineage: Eukaryota; Metazoa; Chordata; Actinopteri; Salmoniformes; Salmonidae
Description: lncRNA (ENSSTUG00000040450.1)
Source: RNAcentral
UGUUUCCCGGAUAUUCACACUUAAAAACUGUACAUGAUGAUGCCUACCUUCCUCCUCAGUCUUUUAUAGUGUCCGAUAGGCCUAGAGAAUCACAAAAGGCUACAAGUCACAUCAUGGGUCCCAUCUUUCUUAUGAUAUUCACAGUAACAGCAGGUGUACUGGCCAUCUCAGAGGAAAU